Molecule: ribosomal RNA, 492 nt
Filed under: uncultured Oscillibacter sp.
Lineage: Bacteria; Bacillati; Bacillota; Clostridia; Eubacteriales; Oscillospiraceae
Description: bacterial SSU rRNA
Rfam family: Bacterial small subunit ribosomal RNA
Source: RNAcentral
UCCUGGCUCAGGACGAACGCUGGCGGCGUGCUUAACACAUGCAAGUCGAACGGAGCGCUCAUGAAAGAGUUUUCGGACAAUGGAUUGAGUUGCUUAGUGGCGGACUGGUGAGUAACGCGUGAGGAACCUGCCUUCCAGAGGGGGACAACAGUUGGAAACGACUGCUAAUACCGCAUGACGCAUGACUGUGGCAUCACAGACAUGUCAAAGAUUUAUCGCUGGAAGAUGGCCUCGCGUCUGAUUAGCUAGUUGGUGAGGUAACGGCCCACCAAGGCGACGAUCAGUAGCCGGACUGAGAGGUUAGCCGGCCACAUUGGGACUGAGAUACGGCCCAGACUCCUACGGGAGGCAGCAGUGGGGAAUAUUGGGCAAUGGACGCAAGUCUGACCCAGCGACGCCGCGUGAAGGAAGAAGGCUUUCGGGUUGUAAACUUCUUUUAAGGGGGAAGAGCAGAAGACGGUACCCCUUGAAUAAGCCACGGCUAACUACGUG